CUGGCAGAACCUGUCUGUUCACUUUUUACCUCUGUAUUGUUCCUGACUUAACCCAAACUCAGAUCUCUUCCUGCUCAAAUGAAGGACAUAAUCAAAGAAUCAUCUAAGCACGAAGAAACCUUAACAUACAGAUGAUACGAUGAAUAAGAAUGACCAAAGUGAUGAGCAAAGUUGAUGAACAUUUUUGAAGGUUUUUCUCUGGCUAAAAGAUGAUCGUCUGUGGAGCCAGUUGCACAAGCUGGACAUAUACCGGUCGUACAACUUAUCUGAACGUAAAAUGCGCUGUAGAAUGCACAAUUUAGGUGUAGUGCAGGUCUGAGAUCUUAAAGAACUUAUUAAAAGCUUUCAUUUAAUUUCAUUUAAAUUCAAAAAUGUUCAACUUAAUCAGCAAAUUAUUACUUUUUGUGCAAACGGGAAAUACAUUUAGUUAAUGCAGAUUGUGUUUGAUGGGUCUGCACGUCACGCAUGCAUCUUAAAGAAGAGCACACUGGCAACUGUGUAAGAGGAGGAAAAGCUCUCUAUCAUCUAUUAGCUGGCGGGAGUAAAUGUAAGUUUGUACCGUAGUAAUGUGAAUGGCGUCUCAACUAUUACUGAGUUUAAAUGCAUAUGCAGGGAUGCAUAUCGUCUACGCUGAGCAUAGAUGUGACUGGUCGUACUGUAGCUUCAGAUGGUGCAACAGGUGUUAUUAUUUUUCACAAAGCCAGACGUAGCUAAGCCCGACAUAGGGCUUACACCCAACGUUUUUAUGUCCAGCUGGUGCAACCGACCCCUGAAGAUUAAAUACAGAGACAGAGAACAGGAUCAUGUCCACCUCUGACAGCACAGAGUCUGUUAUUCACAAUCCUGCUCGCAGGAGAAGAAACAGCAAAGAAGCCGAACCUCCUAACA
This is a long non-coding RNA of Paramisgurnus dabryanus, 888 nucleotides long. RefSeq lists it as uncharacterized. The record is from RefSeq and is a predicted model, not a curated record. Lineage: Eukaryota; Metazoa; Chordata; Actinopteri; Cypriniformes; Cobitidae.